GUCCCUUUAGCUUAACUGGAUAAAGCUCGGAGCCUCUACCUCCGUUAAUGAGCGUUCGAGUCGUUCAAGGGAUACCA
Molecule: transfer RNA, 77 nt
Filed under: Clostridiaceae bacterium
Lineage: Bacteria; Bacillati; Bacillota; Clostridia; Eubacteriales; Clostridiaceae
Description: tRNA-Arg
Rfam family: tRNA
About the family: Transfer RNA (tRNA) molecules are approximately 80 nucleotides in length. Their secondary structure includes four short double-helical elements and three loops (D, anti-codon, and T loops).
Source: RNAcentral